AUCUUUGUUUCUGGAAUUGGCAAUCGGAAAGCAUACCUGCCUACCGAUGCAAGGGAAUCCGGUGUAAAACCGGAGCUGUACCUGCAGCUGUAAUCCUCUCAGAUAAAUGUCUGUAACUACAAAGCCACUGUAACUGAAACCUUAUGGGAAGGCUGUGCGGACAGAGGAAAGCCAGAAUACCUACCAACUUCCAUAACCAAAG
RNAcentral lists this non-coding RNA (202 nucleotides) under Bacteroides helcogenes. The record is from RNAcentral. RNAcentral also lists the same sequence under 1 other name. Lineage: Bacteria; Pseudomonadati; Bacteroidota; Bacteroidia; Bacteroidales; Bacteroidaceae.